ACUAACCAGGAUUCCCCUAGUAACGGCGAGUGAACAGGGAUUAGCCCAGCACCGAAGUCUGCGUCCGUUUGGGCGUUAGACAAUGUGGUGUUUAGGUUGGUGUUUUCGAAUGUUGCUCUGUUUAAAGUCCAUUCUUGAAUAUGGCUAAUAGUUUGGCCCAGAGAGGGUGAAAGGCCCGUGUGGACAGAGCGAUGUUUGACUGUGCUAACCAUGGAGUCGGGUUGUUUGAGAAUGCAGCCCAAAGUUGGUGGUAAACUCCAUCUAAGGCUAAAUACUGGCACGAGUCCGAUAGCGAACAAGUACCGUGAGGGAAAGUUGAAAAGUACUCUGAAGAGAGAGUUAACAGUGCGUGAAACCGCUUAGAAGCAAACGGGUGUAGUCAAGCUGCAAGCCUUAAGAAAUAGGUUGGUCAGAAUGGCGUGAGUCUGAGCAUACAGAGCUGCCAGGUAGGUCCGACUAUAUGUCGGGUUCGGCUCGCAAGAGUCGGAUUUGUGGAGCGUUUACGCGCUGCAUGCCUGCUUGUCAGUUGCUCUACUGGCCCUCUCAAUUUCUUUUGGCGUAUGUCACGACCGUCUUCGCUGUCGGUCUGCUCCAUUUAAACCGUUUCGUGAGUAGUUUCGUGCUGCUUGCGUUCUGGGGGCAGGUAGCUGAUCUAGUCUCGGCUGGAUUGGUGUAAUUGCUGAGUGGAGUGGUACCUGUAACUGUGCAGUAAGAUGGGGCUGGCGGUGCAUUGUUGCCGGGCGUGCGUGUGUUGUCGUGGUUGGCGUAUGGCUAUCUGUUGCUGUUAAUAACGGCCUGGUGGUUGCCCGACUGCGGUGUCAUUCGUUACGUUUGGUCAAUCUUUGCGUUGUGCCUAUAGUCUGU
This 864-nucleotide ribosomal RNA is filed under the name Microcotylidae sp. M10. Its description in RNAcentral is "eukaryotic LSU rRNA". It matches the Rfam family "Eukaryotic large subunit ribosomal RNA", at positions 64 to 634 of the family's 3401-position model. The record is from RNAcentral. Lineage: Eukaryota; Metazoa; Platyhelminthes; Monogenea; Mazocraeidea; Microcotylidae.